RNAcentral lists this ribosomal RNA (387 nucleotides) under Picozoa sp. RNAcentral describes it as "partial small subunit ribosomal RNA". It matches the Rfam family "Eukaryotic small subunit ribosomal RNA", at positions 584 to 975 of the family's 1831-position model. Lineage: Eukaryota; Picozoa. The record is from RNAcentral.
UCCAGCUCCAAUGGCGUAUAUUAAAGUUGUUGCAGUUAAAAAGCUCGUAGUCGGAUUUUGGCAUCCUUCUUCCCUUUCUUCCUCUUUUUCCUUCCUUUUUGGCUUGUUCUUCCUUCCGGAGGCUCGUUCCCUUCUUCAUUGAAGGGUUCGUUGGUUCCGGGUCUUUUACUUUGAGAAAAUUAGAGUGUUCAAAGCAGGCCUAUGCUCUGAAUAGGUUAGCAUGGAAUAAUAGAAUAGGACUUUGGUUCUAUUUUGUUGGUUUCUAGGACCGAAGUAAUGAUUAAUAGGGACAGUUGGGGGCAUUCAUAUUCCAUUGUCAGAGGUGAAAUUCUUGGAUUAACGGAAGAUGAACUUCUGCGAAAGCAUCUGCCAAGGAUGUUUUCAUCA